This 252-nucleotide unclassified non-coding RNA is filed under the name uncultured bacterium. RNAcentral's name for it is "contains 16S-23S intergenic spacer region". It matches the Rfam family "Bacterial small subunit ribosomal RNA", at positions 524 to 776 of the family's 1533-position model. The record is from RNAcentral.
CACAUGAACCCCAAGCGUUAUCCGAAUUUAUUGGGCGUAAGGGUGCGUAGGCGUCCUGAUAUGUUUCCCGUUAAAGCCCGGGGCUCAACUCCGGUCCGGCGGGAAAAACUGUCAGGAUUGAGGGUGCGAGAGGUGUACGGAACCCAUGGUGUAGAGGUGAAAUUCGUUGAUAUCAUGGGGAACGCCAAAGGCGAAGGCAGUACACUGGCGCAUUCCUGACGCUGAGGCACGAAAGCCAGGGUAGCGAAGUGG